RNAcentral lists this ribosomal RNA (301 nucleotides) under uncultured bacterium. Its description in RNAcentral is "partial 16S ribosomal RNA". It matches the Rfam family "Bacterial small subunit ribosomal RNA", at positions 509 to 807 of the family's 1533-position model. The record is from RNAcentral.
CAGUCGCCGCGGUAAUACGAAGGGUGCAAGCGUUAAUCGGAAUUACUGGGCGUAAAGCGUGCGUAGGCGGUGAGUUAAGUCUGCUGUGAAAGCCCUGGGCUCAACCUGGGAAUUGCAGUGGAUACUGGGUCACUAGAGUGUGGUAGAGGAUAGUGGAAUUUCCGGUGUAGCAGUGAAAUGCGUAGAGAUCGGAAGGAACAUCUGUGGCGAAGGCGACUAUCUGGGCCAACACUGACACUGAGACACGAAAGCGUGGGGAGCAAACAGGAUUAGAUACCCCGGUAGUCCCUGUCUCUUAUAC